This 1223-nucleotide long non-coding RNA is filed under the name Neogobius melanostomus (round goby). RNAcentral's name for it is "lncRNA (ENSNMLG00000001427.1)". The record is from RNAcentral. Lineage: Eukaryota; Metazoa; Chordata; Actinopteri; Gobiiformes; Gobiidae.
GACGGACACGCUCACGGUUUGGAGCACGUGUGCAGCCCGGUGAUGCCCGGCGCCGAGGCCGACCCCUGCUCCAGAGAGAGCGUCCUGAAGGUGCUGAAGGAGAGUCGUAAGAGGGAGGUGGAGGAGGAGCGCAGCCUGUCAGGGCAGCGGAGCAAGAGGAGGCGUAACGACAGUGGAGGAAGUGCGCAGUCGGCCUUCGAGCCCCUCCUGCCCAACGGGACGUCCCCUCAGCUCAUCCCCAAGUGCGUCUCCCUCCUGCUGAGCGUAAGUGUGCACAGACUCGCUGACUGACCCUCUGUCUGACUGUAGGCCGGGACACUGAAGCGAGGGCUGACGGUGGCGGCGGAGGACCAGAGCCUGAAGCGCUCCCGCACCUCCUCCGUGAGCUCGUCCAGCGGAGGGAACGCCUUCAGGGGGACGCCCAGCUCCAGGAGGAACCCCAUCUCCAGCUCCUACAGCUCCACACAGGGCCUCACACAGCGGAAGAGGCCGUUACCCUCCGCGUCCCCUCGCUCCAGCCCGGGCCCGUCCCGCUCCCACAGCCCGGAGAACAGCUCCAAAAAGACCAGAGAGGAGGAGCGGAGGAGCCCGAGCCCUGCGCCCUGUGUGCCGCCGGACAGCGCCUCGGGGCAUCCGCCUGUGAUGGAAGAAUCCUCGGCUCCUAAAAACCUGUCAUCAGUUCGUCAGAGCGCACUCAGAGUGGGGAAAACGGCGGCGCAGGAUCCAGCUGGUGUCCAGAGACGACGCUCUGUCCCUGCCUCCGCCGCCGGAGCUCGGCUACAGCGUCACAGCCCAGGACCUGGACGAAGAGAAACGCUCUGCUCUCGACAAGAUCCACAAGCUCCUGGAGACGCCCGCUCCUGAGUCGACCUCCUCCAGCGGCGCCGUCAGCUCGUCUCCGGCCGCGCCCCUGAGCCUCGGACUGACCUUCACCACGGGGACAGUCGGCGUGAGCUCUUCGACUGUGACGCCCAGCUCUUCGGCCGGCGCUCCCAGCACCGCGGCCGGGACAGUAGAGGGCCUUCUGGGGCCUUGGUCGGAACGGGAGGCGGCGUUCAGGGCGGAGCUUCAGUGGCGCCGAGUGUCAGCGUCGCUCCUUCAGUUCAGCCUAACCUCCUCCUGGAGUCUCUGAAGAGGAAGAGUCUGUCUCUGGUCACCGCUGCAGGUUUGUGCUUUUAUUGUAAUUCAUUCAUUACAGGAUCGAGGAAACUUCAUCAUUUAUG